Molecule: long non-coding RNA, 220 nt
Organism: Hyla sarda
Lineage: Eukaryota; Metazoa; Chordata; Amphibia; Anura; Hylidae
Exons: 3
Source: RefSeq, a predicted model, not a curated record
GCUGUGUGCAGCUGAGACAGGCCCAGCAGAGGACAGCAGCGGCGACAUCACAAAGCUUCACCCAUGCUUGAAGUUGGCACUGGCGUGGAAGAUAUGGUUUCAGGAGAUUUCGGGAGAACCAGAGCACAGAAUGUGACCAGAGGAUCAGAAUGUGCACAUAGUGAGGAGGCGGAGGAGGCGUCUGGGCAUCACAUUCUGCAGAGAGAAGAUUUAGCUGGAC